CGGAGGAUCCAAGCGUUAUCCGGAUUUAUUGGGUUUAAAGGGUGCGUAGGCGGCUUAUUAAGUCAGGGGUGAAAGACGGUGGCUCAACCAUCGCAGUGCCUUUGAUACUGAUGAGCUUGAAUGAACUAGAGGUAGGCGGAAUGUGACAAGUAGCGGUGAAAUGCAUAGAUAUGUCACAGAACACCGAUUGCGAAGGCAGCUUACUAUGGUUUUAUUGACGCUGAGGCACGAAAGCGUGGGGAUCAAACAGGAUUAGAUACCCUGGUAGUCCACGCCCUAAACGAUGAAUACUCGCUGCUAGCGAUAUACAGUUAGCGGCUAAGCGAAAGCGUUAAGUAUUCCACCUGGGGAGUACGCCCGCAAGGGUG
RNAcentral lists this ribosomal RNA (368 nucleotides) under uncultured organism. RNAcentral's name for it is "bacterial SSU rRNA". It matches the Rfam family "Bacterial small subunit ribosomal RNA", at positions 526 to 896 of the family's 1533-position model. The record is from RNAcentral.